This 167-nucleotide ribosomal RNA is filed under the name Zygosaccharomyces sp. Its description in RNAcentral is "partial large subunit ribosomal RNA". It matches the Rfam family "Eukaryotic large subunit ribosomal RNA", at positions 99 to 261 of the family's 3401-position model. Lineage: Eukaryota; Fungi; Ascomycota; Saccharomycetes; Saccharomycetales; Saccharomycetaceae. The record is from RNAcentral.
CGGCAAAAGCUCAAAUUUGAAAUCUGGUACCUUUCGGUGCCCGAGUUGUAAUUUGGAGAAAGUGAUUCUGGGACUGGCCCUUGCCUAUGUUCCUUGGAACAGGACGUCAUAGAGGGUGAGAACCCCGUGAGGCGAGGUGAUCCAGUUCUUUGUAGAACGCUUUCGAA